This 753-nucleotide ribosomal RNA is filed under the name uncultured bacterium. RNAcentral describes it as "bacterial SSU rRNA". It matches the Rfam family "Bacterial small subunit ribosomal RNA", at positions 28 to 749 of the family's 1533-position model. The record is from RNAcentral.
AUUGAACGCUGGCGGCAUGCCUGACACAUGCAAGUCGAACGGCAGCGGGACGCGGAUGGGCAACCAUACGAGUGGACGGCGAGUGGCGAACGGGUGAGUAAAGCGCAGGAAUAUACCCUGAAGAGCGGGACAACUUGUGGAAACGCGAGCUAAUACUGCAUGAGCUCUGCAGCAAUGCGGAGGAAAGGCUGGGGACCCUGAGGAGGGCCUGGCGCUUUGGGAAUAGCCUGCGUCUGAUUAGCUUGUUGGUGGGGUAAAGGCCUACCAAGGCGAAGAUCGGUAGCUGGUCUGAGAGGAUGGACAGCCACACUGGGACUGAGAAACGGCCCAGACUCCUGCGGGAGGCAGCAGUGGGGAAUAUUGGACAAUGGGGGGAACCCUGAUCCAGCGAUGCCGCGUGUGUGAAGAAGGCCUGAGGGUUGUAAAGCACUUUCGGCGGGGAGGAGGGGUAUCAGGUUAAGAGCCGGAUAUCCGGACGUUACCUGCAGAAGAAGCACCGGCUAACUCCGUGCCAGCAGCCGCGGUAAUACGGAGGGUGCGAGCGUUAAUCGGAAUGACUGGGCGUAAAGGGUGCGCGGGUGGUUUGAUGUGUCAUAUGUGAAAGCCCCGGGCUCAACCUGGGAGGGAUGUAUGAGACUGUCGGACUGGAGUACGGGAGAGGGCAGUGGAAUUUCCGGUGUAGCGGUGAAAUGCGUAGAUAUCGGAAGGAACACCGGUGGCGAAGGCGGCUGCCUGGCCUGAUACUGACACUGA